Non-coding RNA from Camellia sinensis, 875 nucleotides. NCBI's taxonomy places the organism in Eukaryota, Viridiplantae, Streptophyta, Magnoliopsida, Ericales, Theaceae. The record is from RefSeq and is a predicted model, not a curated record.
UCCUAUCCUCCUCUCCCUUCAACAAUACUCACUCACCCACUCGCCAUCUUCAAAUAUUCUGAAGCCAAUUCCUAGAAAAUUACAAAUCCAAACUUCAAUUUCUUCUAAUUUCAAUUUUAUUUGACUUUCUUUGAUUUUAAUGGCAAUGGAAGACAAAGAAAUUCAUUCUCCUAAUUCCCUCCUGUUUGGUUUCCCUGAAAAAGACUACAAAAUUAAAAUAAUUGGAUUACCUUUUCAUGUUCGCAAUUUCAAUGCUUCAAAUCAAAUCAUGCAUGUUUAUUUCAAAUUGAUUUGAUCAUAAUCCUAUGUAUCUAGGUGAUGAGUUUGAUUAAUUGGUGAUAUGUAGAUAUGCAUUGGAUGUGAACAUGGAAAGAGCUGAAGAUGUGCUCACGCACGAGACUACUCAUCUGGCGGAAGACCCUGCGACUUGACCUGUAUUUGAAGUUCGUCUUGUGCAGGAAAGGGGCAAAGCUAGGAUGCAGGAGCCAAGCAUUUAUAAACUUAAAAAAGGGCUAAUAAGAAAUCUAUCAAUUUUACUCCAUUUAUUUCCAUCCAAGGCAUUACACCAGGUGAUCAAGCACCGGAUCAGAGUUAGCGACGUCGACCCGAAACAUGCUUUUGUCAAGCCAACUAUUGUGCUUCACUGCGAGGUUCUGAGCUAUUGCAUGUCAGGGUUUUUUUUUGGGGGAGGGGGGGGGAUGAUUCAGGUUCACCCUUUUGACAUGGUGUUUAAGAGAUAAGAAUGUUUAUUGAGUUUGGUUAACCGUUUUUGGCAAUGAGAUUUAAUUCCCUAACUUACGUUUUGUUUUGUGUAUAAGUGUUUUAUGGACUUAAGUGUGUGUAUAUAUAUAAACAUAUGAGAGUUAUUUUGUUCA